GUGCCAGCAGCCGCGGUAACACGUAGGGGGCGAGCGUUGUCCGGAUUCAUUGGGCGUAAAGCGCUUUAAGGCGGUUCGAUAAGUCGGGUGUGAAAACUCCAGGCUCAACCUGGAGACGCCACUCGAUACUGUCGUGACUAGAGUCCGGUAGGGGACCACGGAAUACCUGGUGUAGCGGUGAAAUGCGCAGAUAUCAGGUGGAACACCGGUGGCGAAGGCGGUGGUCUGGGCCGGAACUGACGCUGUAGAGCGAAAGCGUGGGGAGCGAACAGGAUUAGAUACCCUAGUAGUCC
Molecule: ribosomal RNA, 293 nt
Filed under: uncultured bacterium
Lineage: Bacteria
Description: partial 16S ribosomal RNA
Rfam family: Bacterial small subunit ribosomal RNA
Source: RNAcentral